RNAcentral lists this unclassified non-coding RNA (302 nucleotides) under Rhizophlyctis rosea. RNAcentral's name for it is "partial internal transcribed spacer region". The stretch from base 1 to 46 matches the Rfam family "Eukaryotic small subunit ribosomal RNA", at positions 1786 to 1831 of the family's 1831-position model. Lineage: Eukaryota; Fungi; Chytridiomycota; Chytridiomycetes; Rhizophlyctidales; Rhizophlyctidaceae. The record is from RNAcentral.
AAGUCGUAACAAGGUAACCGUAGGUGAACCUGCGGUUGGAUCAUUAAAAAAUAUUUGGUCUCGUGCCAAAUCAACACUUGUGUGCACCAUUGUCUGUCCUUGGUAGCUCGAGCUGCUCCACGAGGUCUCAACAACCACGUGGCGCCUACCCCGCGGUGGGAUGCAAAUCCGGCCGCGUUGUGGUUGGGCUACCGACCUUUCUGAUAAACCUUUUUGUUUGUUGUUUUUCUGUCUGAACGAAGAGUUAAUCUGUAAGAUUAAUGAUUUGAAUACAACUUUUGACAACGGAUCUCUUGGCUCUC